GCGGAGGAAAAGAAAAUAACAAUGAUUUCCCUAGUAACGGCGAGUGAAGAGGAAAGAGCUCAAAGUUGGAACCUGUUUGGCUUAGCUAAACCGGAUUGUAAACUGUAGAAGUGUUUUCCAGACACGCCUGGUAAAAAAGUCCUUUGGAACAGGGCAUCAUAGAGGGUGAGAAUCCCGUCUUUGGCCAGAGCUGUUGUCUUUUGUGAUACAUUUUCAAAGAGUCAGGUUGUUUGGGAAUGCAGCCUAAAUUGGGUGGUAAAUCUCACCUAAAGCUAAAUAUUUGCGAGAGACCGAUAGCGAACAAGUACCGUGAGGGAAAGAUGAAAAGAACUUUGAAAAGAGAGUUAAACAGUAUGUGAAAUUGUUAAAAGGGAACCGUUUGGAGCCAGACUGGCUUAACUGUAAUCAAUCUAGGCUUCGGCCUGGAUGCACUUGCGGUUUAUGCCGGCCAACGACAGUUUUACUUGGGGGAAAAAAUUACUUUGAAUGUGGCCCUUCGGGGUGUUAUAGCUUAGUAAAAAAUACCCUGGGUUGGACUGAGGAACGCAGUGAAUGCCUUUAGGCAAGAUUGCUGAGCGCUUUCGCUGAUAAAUGCUAGAAUUUCUGCUUCGGGUGGUGCUAGUGUUUAAAGGAGAAACCCGUUUGGUAUAUUUUUUAUUCGCUUAGGUUGUUGGCUUAAUGACUCUAAAUGAC
RNAcentral lists this ribosomal RNA (693 nucleotides) under Mucor japonicus. RNAcentral describes it as "eukaryotic LSU rRNA". It matches the Rfam family "Eukaryotic large subunit ribosomal RNA", at positions 50 to 648 of the family's 3401-position model. Lineage: Eukaryota; Fungi; Mucoromycota; Mucoromycetes; Mucorales; Mucoraceae. The record is from RNAcentral.